RNAcentral lists this ribosomal RNA (519 nucleotides) under uncultured bacterium. RNAcentral describes it as "bacterial SSU rRNA". It matches the Rfam family "Bacterial small subunit ribosomal RNA", at positions 10 to 522 of the family's 1533-position model. The record is from RNAcentral.
ACUUUGAUUAUGGCUCGGGAUGAACGCUAGCGGCAGGCUUAACACAUGCAAGUCGAGGGGUAACAUUGGUGCUUGCAUCAGAUGACGACCGGCGCACGGGUGAGUAACGCGUAUGUAACCUACCUAUCACAGGGGGAUAGCCCGGAGAAAUUCGGAUUAAUACCGCAUAGUUUUGAGAUAUUGCAUGAUAUUUCAAAUAAAACUUUGGUGGUGAUAGAUGGACAUGCGUAUGAUUAGUUAGUUGGUGAGGUAACGGCUCACCAAGGCGACGAUCAUUAGGGGUUCUGAGAGGAAGGUCCCCCACACUGGUACUGAGACACGGGACCAGACUCCUACGGGAGGCAGCAGUGAGGAAAUAUUGGUCAAUGGACGAAAGUCUGAACCAGCCAUGCCGCGUGCAGGAUGACUGCCCUAUGGGUUGUAAACUGCUUUUCUGAAGGAAGAAAUGUACCUACGUGUAGGUAUUUGCCGGUACUUCAGGAAUAAGGAUCGGCUAACUCCGUGCCAGCAGCCGCGGUA